This 406-nucleotide ribosomal RNA is filed under the name uncultured bacterium. Its description in RNAcentral is "partial 16S ribosomal RNA". It matches the Rfam family "Bacterial small subunit ribosomal RNA", at positions 30 to 526 of the family's 1533-position model. The record is from RNAcentral.
AUUGAACGCUGGCGACAGGCUUAACACAUGCAAGUCGAGCGAGCGCCGGAGGGGUGGGUAAUUUCGGGAAAACUCCCUGAUGGAGGGGGAUAAUUAUUGGAAACGUUGGCAAAAACGCCUUACAAUCGAUGGUGCCCAGAUGGGAUUAGCUCGUAGGUGGGGUAAUGGCUCACCUAGGCGACGAUCCCUAGCUGGUCUGAGAGGAUGACCAGCCACACUGGAACUGAGACACGGUCCAGACUCCUACGGGAGGCAGCAGUGGGGAAUAUUGCACAAUGGGCGCAAGCCUGAUGCAGCCAUGCCGCGUGUGUGAAGAAGGCCUUCGGGUUGUAAAGCACUUUCAGCGAGGAGGCGUUACUCGCAGAAGAAGCACCGGCUAACUCCGUGCCAGCAGCCGCGGUAAUAC